CCUACGGGUGGCAGCAGUGAGGAAUAUUGGUCAAUGGGCGCAAGCCUGAACCAGCCAAGUCGCGUGAGGGAAGACGGCCCUACGGGUUGUAAACCUCUUUUGCCGGGGAGCAAGCCUGAGCACGUGUGCCCAGGCGGAGAGUACCCGGAGAAAAAGCAGCGGCUAACUCCGUGCCAGCAGCCGCGGUAAUACGGAGGAUGCGAGCGGUAUCCGGAUUUAUUGGGUUUAAGGGGUGCGCAGGCGGGCUGUGAAGUCGGCGGUAAAAAUUCCGGGCCCAACCCUGUCCAGCCGUGGGAACUGGCGGCCUUGAGUGGGCGAGAAGUAUGCGGAAUGCGUGGUGUAGCGGUGAAAUGCAUAGAUAUCACGCAGAACGCCGAUUGCGAAGGCAGCAUACCGGCGCCCGACUGACGCUGAGGCACGAAAGCGUGGGGAUCGAACAGGAUUAGAUACCCUAGUAGUC
Molecule: ribosomal RNA, 460 nt
Filed under: uncultured bacterium
Lineage: Bacteria
Description: partial 16S ribosomal RNA
Rfam family: Bacterial small subunit ribosomal RNA
Source: RNAcentral